Molecule: ribosomal RNA, 67 nt
Filed under: Bolusiella maudiae
Lineage: Eukaryota; Viridiplantae; Streptophyta; Magnoliopsida; Asparagales; Orchidaceae
Also listed under: 22 other names
Description: partial 5.8S ribosomal RNA
Rfam family: 5.8S ribosomal RNA
About the family: 5.8S ribosomal RNA (5.8S rRNA) is a component of the large subunit of the eukaryotic ribosome. It is transcribed by RNA polymerase I as part of the 45S precursor that also contains 18S and 28S rRNA.
Source: RNAcentral
GACACGACUCUCGGCAAUGGAUAUCUCGGCUCUCGCAUCGAUGAAGAGCGCAGCGAAAUGCGAUACU